CAGUCGCCGCGGGAAUACGUAGGGUGCGAGCGUUAAUCGGAAUUACUGGGCGUAAAGCGUGCGCAGGCGGUUCGUUAAGACAGAUGUGAAAUCCCCGGGCUUAACCUGGGAACUGCAUUUGUGACUGUAUAGCUAGAGUACGGCAGAGGGGGAUGGAAUUCCGCGUGUAGCAGUGAAAUGCGUAGAUAUGCGGAGGAACACCGAUGGCGAAGGCAAUCCCCUGGGCCUGUACUGACGCUCAUGCACGAAAGCGUGGGGAGCAAACAGGAUUAGAUACCCCUGUAGUCCCUGUCUCUUAUAC
RNAcentral lists this ribosomal RNA (301 nucleotides) under uncultured bacterium. RNAcentral describes it as "partial 16S ribosomal RNA". It matches the Rfam family "Bacterial small subunit ribosomal RNA", at positions 509 to 807 of the family's 1533-position model. The record is from RNAcentral.